UACGUAGGGGGCAAGCGUUGUCCGGAUUUAUUGGGCGUAAAGAGCUCGUAGGCGGUUCGACAAGCCGACGGUGAAAUCUCCACGCUCAACGUGGAGGGGUCCGUCGGAACUGUCGUGACUAGAGUCCGGUAGGGGAGUGUGGAAUUUCCGGUGUAGCGGUGAAAUGCGCAGAGAUCGGAAGGAACACCCGUAGCGAAGGCGCUGCUCUGGGCCGGUACUGACGCUGAGGAGCGAAAGCGUGGGGAGCGAACAGG
Molecule: ribosomal RNA, 254 nt
Filed under: uncultured bacterium
Lineage: Bacteria
Description: partial 16S ribosomal RNA
Rfam family: Bacterial small subunit ribosomal RNA
Source: RNAcentral